Small nuclear RNA from Fukomys damarensis (Damara mole-rat), 100 nucleotides. Lineage: Eukaryota; Metazoa; Chordata; Mammalia; Rodentia; Bathyergidae. The record is from Ensembl.
GUGCUCACUUAGGCAGCACAUACACCAAAAUUGUAAAGAUGCAGAGAUGAGCAUGGCACCUGGACAAGGAUAACACUCGCAAUGGUAAUUUUAUGUGUUU